Molecule: non-coding RNA, 118 nt
Organism: Chelonoidis abingdonii (Abingdon island giant tortoise)
Lineage: Eukaryota; Metazoa; Chordata; Testudines; Testudinidae
Source: RefSeq, a predicted model, not a curated record
CUUCCAACUUAGGAAAGAGAUCUUGGGGUCACUGUGGAUACUUCUCUGGAAACGUACACUCAAUGUGCAGUGGCAAUCAAAAAAAGCAAAGAAAAUGUUGAGAAUCAAUAAAAAGGGA